AUGGCGUCCAACCAGAACCAGGCGAGCUACCGCGCCGGCGAGGCCAAGGGCCAUACCCAGGAGAAGACGGGGCAGGUGAUGGGCGCGGCCAAGGACAUGGCGUACGAGGCCAAGGACCGGGCGACGGACAUGGCGGAGCACGCGUCCGGGCAGGGGCAGGGCACCACGGAGGCCACCAAGCAGAAGGCCGGCGAGGCCACGGACAAGGCGUCCCAGACGGCGCAGGCGGCCAAGGACAAGGCUGCUAGCACGGUGCAGGCCGCCAACGACCGCACCGUCGAGAGCAAGGACCAGACCGGCACCUUCCUCGGCGAGAAGACGGAGAAGACCAAGCAGAAGGCGGCGGGGGCAGCGCAGUACACGCAGGACAGGACAUACGACGCGGCGCAGUACGCCAAGGAGUCCGCCGUCGCCAGCAAGGACAAGACCGGCAGCGUCCUCCAACAGGCCGACGAGACGGUGGUGAACGCCAUGGUGGGCGCCAAGGACGCCGUGGCCAACACGCUGGGGAUGGGCGGAGACAACACCAACACCAGCACCACAGACACCACAGAGAAGAUCGUCAGGGAUCACCACUAG
This 579-nucleotide ribosomal RNA is filed under the name Triticum aestivum (bread wheat). Its description in RNAcentral is "partial small subunit ribosomal RNA". The record is from RNAcentral. Lineage: Eukaryota; Viridiplantae; Streptophyta; Magnoliopsida; Poales; Poaceae.